UGUUUGGGCGGUAGUGUGGGAAGCCUUCGGGCUUGCUGUUUCCUUGAUACAGUCUGUCAACCUGCACUACCGCCC
Molecule: non-coding RNA, 75 nt
Filed under: Gallionella capsiferriformans ES-2
Lineage: Bacteria; Pseudomonadati; Pseudomonadota; Betaproteobacteria; Nitrosomonadales; Gallionellaceae
Source: RNAcentral